UGGGGAGAUGGAGUGCGGAAUGGGAUGAAGUUCGGCCUGAUUGGGAAGAGGAUAAGGAUGAUCCUCUGUUCCGAAGAAGGGGAGUUGGAACGUUUAUCUGUGGAGGGGAUCAUGAACGGGAUACUCGGGAGGAGAUGUUCCGGAAGCCUUGGAGAUGAAGACGUGUGAAACAGGGAAGGAAUGGAUUCGGCCUGUUUUGUUUUGAAACUAAAACAGGGGAUGUGGAACUGUGAACGCGACGUUUGAGUUCAUCCCGUGAAGAUGGAGGAGAUACAGUUGGUUUGGUCGCUGGGACUUGUUUUGUUCGUGAGACAUAGGCGCGAGGGGAGCUGAGAAAAUCUCGGCUGGGAGUUUGGUGUUGGGAUCUCGGAUGGUGGAGCUUCGGAUCAAGCCGGAAGAGGAGACGAAUCCAUGAGCUGGGAGGUAAGAUCGAAUCCUGAGUUUGGUAGAGGGAUACGGCUGAGAACAGAGGAUCUUGGAUGCACACGGG
RNAcentral lists this long non-coding RNA (490 nucleotides) under Phoenix dactylifera (date palm). Its description in RNAcentral is "long non-coding RNA (PDAC_LNC013922)". Lineage: Eukaryota; Viridiplantae; Streptophyta; Magnoliopsida; Arecales; Arecaceae. The record is from RNAcentral.